Molecule: ribosomal RNA, 253 nt
Filed under: uncultured bacterium
Lineage: Bacteria
Description: partial 16S ribosomal RNA
Rfam family: Bacterial small subunit ribosomal RNA
Source: RNAcentral
UACGUAGGGGGCAAGCGUUGUCCGGAUUUAUUGGGCGUAAAGAGCGUGUAGGCGGCCAUACAGGUCCGUUGUGAAAACUGGAGGCUCAACCUCCAGACGUCGACGGAAACCGUUUGGCUAGAGUCCGGAAGAGGAGAGUGGAAUUCCUGGUGUAGCGGUGAAAUGCGCAGAUAUCAGGAAGAACACCGAUGGCGAAGGCAGCUCUCUGGGACGGUACUGACGCCAAGGCGCGAAAGCGUGGGGAGCGAACAGG